UCACCUCAUAGAACUGUGUGCGCAUUAAAUGAGAAAGGCUCAUGCUAAGACCAAGAUGGGCCAGUGACUGUAUCCCCAGCACUGAGCCAAGUGCCUGGAGCCCUGGGCCCCAGCAGCACCCAGCAAUGGAAAAACAUCCUCAGGCUUCAGCUGUGUUUCAUCUCCAGGCCCAGAGAAGCAGCAAAAUCAGACAGAGGGACGCCAUGGCUGACGUCAGGACGAGCUGUAGUGCUUAAUGACCCCCUGACCUAGCAUCGACCAGUCAAGAGGAGACCAUGACCCUGAAAGGACACACCUGGAAAGCUGAUAAAGAUUCCACUGGGAUCCCCCCCUGAGACCUCCAGAUAAACACGCUUAGGAUGGAGGACCCAGCUUCAUCUCUGGAGCACACCCUAACCUUUCCUUCCUCUUUCAUCUCUCUCUCUCUCUCUCUCUCUCUCUCUCUCUCCUAUAACUCAUUUCCUGAGCCCAUUUUCCCCCCUAUGGCUGUCUUCUUCUACUCCUGUGACUUCCUAA
Molecule: long non-coding RNA, 516 nt
Organism: Myotis davidii
Lineage: Eukaryota; Metazoa; Chordata; Mammalia; Chiroptera; Vespertilionidae
Exons: 4
Source: RefSeq, a predicted model, not a curated record